UGAUUUUGUUGUUUUGAGUU
This 20-nucleotide microRNA is filed under the name Corchorus capsularis. Its description in RNAcentral is "sRNA CCACVL1_30862". Lineage: Eukaryota; Viridiplantae; Streptophyta; Magnoliopsida; Malvales; Malvaceae. The record is from RNAcentral.